GGGUCCUUAGCUCAGCGGUGAGAGCGUCUGGUUUACACCCAGAAGGCCGGUGGUUCGAGUCCACCAGGACCCACCA
Molecule: transfer RNA, 76 nt
Filed under: Candidatus Saccharibacteria bacterium QS_5_54_17
Lineage: Bacteria; Candidatus Saccharimonadota
Description: tRNA-Val
Rfam family: tRNA
About the family: Transfer RNA (tRNA) molecules are approximately 80 nucleotides in length. Their secondary structure includes four short double-helical elements and three loops (D, anti-codon, and T loops). Further hydrogen bonds mediate the characteristic L-shaped molecular structure. tRNAs have two regions of fundamental functional importance: the anti-codon, which is responsible for specific mRNA codon recognition, and the 3' end, to which the tRNAs corresponding amino acid is attached (by aminoacyl-tRNA synthetases). tRNAs cope with the degeneracy of the genetic code in two manners: having more than one tRNA (with a specific anti-codon) for a particular amino acid; and 'wobble' base-pairing, i.e. permitting non-standard base-pairing at the 3rd anti-codon position.
Source: RNAcentral